Molecule: ribosomal RNA, 497 nt
Filed under: uncultured bacterium
Lineage: Bacteria
Description: partial 16S ribosomal RNA
Rfam family: Bacterial small subunit ribosomal RNA
Source: RNAcentral
GAUGAACGCUGGCGGCGUGCCUAAUACAUGCAAGUCGAGCGAACAGACGAGGAGCUUGCUCCUCUGACGUUAGCGGCGGACGGGUGAGUAACACGUGGAUAACCUACCUAUAAGUCUGGGAUCACUUCGGGAAACCGGAGCUAAUACCGGAUAAUAUAUUGAACCGCAUGGUUCAAUAGUGAAUGACGGCUUUGCUGUUACUUAUAGCUGGAUCCGCGCCGCAUUAGCUAGUUGGUAAGGUAACGGCUUACCAAGGCAACGAUGCGUAGCCGACCUGAGAGGGUGAUCGGCCACACUGGAACUGAGACACGGUCCAGACUCCUACGGGAGGCAGCAGUAGGGAAUCUUCCGCAAUGGGCGAAAGCCUGACGGAGCAACGCCGCGUGAGUGAUGAAGGUCUUCGGAUCGUAAAACUCUGUUAUUAGGGAAGAACAAAUGUGUAAGUAACUAUGCACGUCUUGACGGUACCGAAUCAGAAAGCCACGGCUAACUACGUG